CCUGGGCUCAAGAGAUCCUUCUGCUUCAGCCUCCUGAGUAGCUGGGACUUCAGAAUCCCAGUCCUCUCUCUCUCACUGACCCCGAAGAUAAGCAUUGGAAAGGGGAGCUUUGGGGAAAUGAAUCUGCCCUGUCAUCUGCGUAUAGAGCUAAUCUUAAAUCCCAACUGCCAAAUGGAUCCUGAGGUGUCAGAAACUCUCCCGAGAUAAGGGGGCUUCUAGCAACCAUCUGCAUUCUGGACCCAGGUA
This 246-nucleotide long non-coding RNA is filed under the name Homo sapiens (human). RNAcentral describes it as "HSALNT0296431". Lineage: Eukaryota; Metazoa; Chordata; Mammalia; Primates; Hominidae. The record is from RNAcentral.